UGAGGGAUGGUUGUCAAGAGAUGAGGCGUCAACAAGUAAGAAAUAUGGUAGAAACUUUGGUAAGAAGAAAGAUAGUGAGACGAACGCAUUAAUCAGUGGGAGGAAGAGGAGGCCUCAAAUCAGAAGGAAUCCACCACCCCGGCAACAUCAUCAUCAAGUGUCAUCAGUAAUUCCGGUAUUUUCUAAUCAACAAGCAACACCAAUUCAACAACAACAACUGCGACAAAG
Molecule: long non-coding RNA, 228 nt
Filed under: Lathyrus oleraceus (garden pea)
Lineage: Eukaryota; Viridiplantae; Streptophyta; Magnoliopsida; Fabales; Fabaceae
Description: Pisum sativum (pea) long non-coding RNA (PSAT_LNC026039)
Source: RNAcentral